This 859-nucleotide ribosomal RNA is filed under the name Levilactobacillus namurensis. RNAcentral's name for it is "bacterial SSU rRNA". It matches the Rfam family "Bacterial small subunit ribosomal RNA", at positions 54 to 910 of the family's 1533-position model. The record is from RNAcentral. Lineage: Bacteria; Bacillati; Bacillota; Bacilli; Lactobacillales; Lactobacillaceae.
CCGUUGAUUGACGUGCUUGCACUGAUUUCAACAUUGGAACGAGUGGCGAACUGGUGAGUAACACGUGGAAAACCUGCCCAGAAGCAGGGGAUAACACUUGGAAACAGGUGCUAAUACCGUAUAACAACAAAAACCGCAUGGUUUUUGUUUGAAAGGUGGCUUCGGCUAUCACUUCUGGAUGGUUCCGCGGCGCAUUAGCUUGUUGGUGGGGUAACGGCUCACCAAGGCGAUGAUGCGUAGCCGACCUGAGAGGGUAAUCGGCCACAUUGGGACUGAGACACGGCCCAGACUCCUACGGGAGGCAGCAGUAGGGAAUCUUCCACAAUGGACGCAAGUCUGAUGGAGCAAUGCCGCGUGAGUGAAGAAGGGUUUCGGCUCGUAAAACUCUGUUGUUGAAGAAGAACGGGUGUCAGAGUAACUGUUGACAUCGUGACGGUAUUCAACCAGAAAGCCACGGCUAACUACGUGCCAGCAGCCGCGGUAAUACGUAGGUGGCAAGCGUUGUCCGGAUUUAUUGGGCGUAAAGCGAGCGCAGGCGGUUUCUUAAGUCUGAUGUGAAAGCCUUCGGCUUAACCGAAGAAGUGCAUCGGAAACUGGGGAACUUGAGUGCAGAAGAGGACAGUGGAACUCCAUGUGUAGCGGUGGAAUGCGUAGAUAUAUGGAAGAACACCAGUGGCGAAAGCGGCUGUCUAGUCUGCAACUGACGCUGAGGCUCGAAAGCAUGGUAGCGAACAGGAUUAGAUACCCUGGUAGUCCAUGCCGUAACGAUGAGUGCUAGUGUUGGAGGGUUUCGCCCUCAGUGCGCAGCUACGCAUAGCACUCGCUGGGGAGUACGACGCAAGGUGAAACUCAAAGGAAU